Molecule: ribosomal RNA, 253 nt
Filed under: uncultured bacterium
Lineage: Bacteria
Description: partial 16S ribosomal RNA
Rfam family: Bacterial small subunit ribosomal RNA
Source: RNAcentral
UACGGAGGGUGCAAGCGUUAUCCGGAUUCACUGGGUUUAAAGGGUGCGUAGGAGGGCAGGUAAGUCAGUGGUGAAAUCUCCAAGCUUAACUUGGAAACUGCCGUUGAUACUAUCUGUCUUGAAUACCGUGGAGGUGAGCGGAAUAUGUCAUGUAGCGGUGAAAUGCUUAGAUAUGACAUAGAACACCAAUUGCGAAGGCAGCUCACUACACAAAGAUUGACACUGAGGCACGAAAGCGUGGGGAUCAAACAGG